CGGGAUUCGAACCAGCACCAGGAUGCGUGGAGGUAGAGAACCCAGCCAGCCAGCCACCCCGACAGCCAGACAGCCAGCUAGACAGACACGGACGGACAGACAGACAGCCAUUAUGCACCGAGGAGGGGGAAGGGCGUGAACGAGGAUGCAGGGAGCUUGCAGUGGGUGUGACUGAGGACGGCGCAGAAGGUUGAGUGCGCCUGAGAAGGUUGACCUGCCGUGGCGACCCAUGACGAGAGCAGCUAAGAGACGAGUUCCUGUCCUUGUACUGUGAGAGACGAAAUAUGGAUCACGUUGCGAGAAGAUAAUCGACGGAAUGUAAGUUUUUUUUUUAUUAUUAUUAUUACCUCUCAGUCAUGUUUGAUUUUUUUCAUGGUUACGUACAUUUCUGAUGUGUUCAACUAUACUCGUAGCUGCGCGCCCCUCGUACUGCAGAAGACAUCGAUAAAGA
Molecule: long non-coding RNA, 451 nt
Organism: Scylla paramamosain (green mud crab)
Lineage: Eukaryota; Metazoa; Arthropoda; Malacostraca; Decapoda; Portunidae
Exons: 3
Source: RefSeq, a predicted model, not a curated record